GUGCUUGCUUUGACAACACACAUACUAAAAUUGAAAUGACACAGAGAAGAUUACCAUGGCUGCCUCUGCACGAGGAUUACAUGCAAAUUCAUGAAGUGUUCCAUAUUAAA
This is a small nuclear RNA of Nannospalax galili (Upper Galilee mountains blind mole rat), 110 nucleotides long. The record is from Ensembl. NCBI's taxonomy places the organism in Eukaryota, Metazoa, Chordata, Mammalia, Rodentia, Spalacidae.